UAUAAGACUGGGAUAACUUCGGGAAACCGGAGCUAAUGCCGGAUAACAUUUGGAACCGCAUGGUUCUAAAGUAAAAGAUGGUUUUGCUAUCACUUAUAGAUGGACCCGCGCCGUAUUAGCUAGUUGGUAAGGUAACGGCUUACCAAGGCAACGAUACGUAGCCGACCUGAGAGGGUGAUCGGCCACACUGGAACUGAGACACGGUCCAGACUCCUACGGGAGGCAGCAGUAGGGAAUCUUCCGCAAUGGACGAAAGUCUGACGGAGCAACGCCGCGUGAGUGAUGAAGGUUUUCGGAUCGUAAAACUCUGUUAUUAGGGAAGAACAAAUGUGUAAGUAACUGUGCACAUCUUGACGGUACCUAAUCAGAAAGCCACGGCUAACUACGUGCCAGCAGCCGCGGUAAUACGUAGGUGGCAAGCGUUAUCCGGAAUUAUUGGGCGUAAAGCGCGCGUAGGCGGUUUCUUAAGUCUGAUGUGAAAGCCCACGGCUCAACCGUGGAGGGUCAUUGGAAACUGGGAAACUUGAGUACAGAAGAGGAAAGUGGAAUUCCAUGUGUAGCGGUGAAAUGCGCAGAGAUAUGGAGGAACACCAGUGGCGAAGGCGACUUUCUGGUCUGUAACUGACGCUGAUGUGCGAAAGCGUGGGGAUCAAACAGGAUUAGAUACCCUGGUAGUCCACGCCGUAAACGAUGAGUGCUAAGUGUUAGGGGGUUUCCGCCCCUUAAUGCUGCAGCUAAC
RNAcentral lists this ribosomal RNA (739 nucleotides) under uncultured Staphylococcus sp. Its description in RNAcentral is "bacterial SSU rRNA". It matches the Rfam family "Bacterial small subunit ribosomal RNA", at positions 131 to 856 of the family's 1533-position model. The record is from RNAcentral. Lineage: Bacteria; Bacillati; Bacillota; Bacilli; Caryophanales; Staphylococcaceae.